This 74-nucleotide transfer RNA is filed under the name Spraguea lophii 42_110. It matches the Rfam family "tRNA". Rfam says of the family: Transfer RNA (tRNA) molecules are approximately 80 nucleotides in length. Lineage: Eukaryota; Fungi; Microsporidia; Spragueidae. The record is from Rfam by way of RNAcentral.
GGUGACAUGGUCUAGCUUGGAAUGAUUUCUGCUUAGGGUGCAGGCGGUCCUGGGUUCGAGUCCCAGUGUCACCC